This 56-nucleotide transfer RNA is filed under the name Salmo salar (Atlantic salmon). It matches the Rfam family "tRNA", at positions 10 to 63 of the family's 71-position model. From Rfam's summary of the family: Transfer RNA (tRNA) molecules are approximately 80 nucleotides in length. Their secondary structure includes four short double-helical elements and three loops (D, anti-codon, and T loops). The record is from Rfam by way of RNAcentral. Lineage: Eukaryota; Metazoa; Chordata; Actinopteri; Salmoniformes; Salmonidae.
GCUCAGUUGGUAGAGCAUGGUGUUUGCAACGCCAGGGUUGUGGGUUCGAUUCCCGC